GUGAACGCUGGCGGUAGGCCUAACACAUGCAAGUCGAACGGCAGCACAGUAAGAGCUUGCUCUUACGGGUGGCGAGUGGCGGACGGGUGAGGAAUACAUCGGAAUCUACUUUUUCGUGGGGGAUAACGUAGGGAAGCUUACGCUAAUACCGCAUACGACCUACGGGUGAAAGCAGGGGAUCUUCGGACCUUGCGCGAUUGAAUGAGCCGAUGUCGGAUUAGCUAGUUGGCGGGGUAAAGGCCCACCAAGGCGACGAUCCGUAGCUGGUCUGAGAGGAUGAUCAGCCACACUGGAACUGAGACACGGUCCAGACUCCUACGGGAGGCAGCAGUGGGGAAUAUUGGACAAUGGGCGCAAGCCUGAUCCAGCCAUACCGCGUGGGUGAAGAAGGCCUUCGGGUUGUAAAGCCCUUUUGUUGGGAAAGAAAAGCAGCAGGUUAAUACCCCGCUGUUCUGACGGUACCCAAAGAAUAAGCACCGGCUAACUUCGUG
RNAcentral lists this ribosomal RNA (491 nucleotides) under uncultured bacterium. RNAcentral's name for it is "partial 16S ribosomal RNA". It matches the Rfam family "Bacterial small subunit ribosomal RNA", at positions 29 to 507 of the family's 1533-position model. The record is from RNAcentral.